GCUGUUACUCUCAGGUUCUUGGCAACAGGGGAAAGUUACAAGAGUUUGUCAUUCUUGCACAGAAUAUUUGUGCCGAGUAUUUCACAUAUUAUCAUGCAAGUAUGCACAGCAAUUCGAGAUGUACUGAAAGAUAAAUAUUUGAAGGCUCCAACAACAGAAAGAGAGUGGCAGCUGACUGCUGACAUGUUUGAUGAACUGUGGCAGUUCCCAAAUUGCUUAGGUGCAAUGGAUGGGAAACAUGUUGCGAUUGCUGCACCAAGGU
Schistocerca piceifrons (Central American locust) is the source of this 262-nucleotide long non-coding RNA. RefSeq lists it as uncharacterized. The record is from RefSeq and is a predicted model, not a curated record. NCBI's taxonomy places the organism in Eukaryota, Metazoa, Arthropoda, Insecta, Orthoptera, Acrididae. The transcript has 3 exons.